CCUACGGGAGGCAGCAGUGAGGAAUAUUGGUCAAUGGGCGCAAGCCUGAACCAGCCAAGUCGCGUGAGGGAUGACGGUCCUAUGGAUUGUAAACCUCUUUUGUCGGGGAGCAAGGCCCGCCACGUGUGGCGGGAAGGAGAGUACCCGACGAACAAGCAUCGGCUAACUCCGGUCCAGCAGCCGCGGUAAUACGGGGGAUGCGAGCGUUAUCCGGCUUUAUUGGGUUUAUAGGGUGCGUGGGCGGAAGGUUAAGUCAGCGGUGAAAUGUCGGUGCUCAAUACCGGCCUGCUGUUGAAACUGGUCGUCUUGAGUGAGCGAGAAGUAUGCGGAAUGCGUGGUGUAGCGGUGAAAUGCAUAGAUAUCACGCAGAACUCCGAUUGCGAAGGCAGCAUACCGGCGCUCAACUGACGCUGAGGCACGAAAGCGUGGGGAUCGAACAGGAUUAGAUACCCGAGUAGUC
This 460-nucleotide ribosomal RNA is filed under the name uncultured bacterium. RNAcentral describes it as "partial 16S ribosomal RNA". It matches the Rfam family "Bacterial small subunit ribosomal RNA", at positions 338 to 795 of the family's 1533-position model. The record is from RNAcentral.